AGCGAACGCUGGCGGCAGGCCUAACACAUGCAAGUCGAACGAACUCUUCGGAGUUAGUGGCGGACGGGUGAGUAACACGUGGGAACGUGCCUUUAGGUUCGGAAUACCUCAGGGAAACUUGUGCUAAUACCGAAUGUGCCCUUCGGGGGAAAGAUUUAUCGCCUUUAGAGCGGCCCGCGUCUGAUUAGCUAGUUGGUGAGGUAAAGGCUCACCCAGGCGACGAUCAGUAACUGGUUUGAGAGGAUGCUCAGCCACAUUGGGACUGAGACACGGCCCGAGCUCCUACGGGAGGCGGCAGUAGGGAAUCUUGCGCAAUGGGCGAAAGCCUGGCACAGCCAUGCCGCGUGAAUGAUGAAGGUCUGAGGAGAGUAAAAGUCUUUCAACGGGGACGAUAAUGACGGUACCCGGAGAAGAAGCCCCGGCUAACUUCGUG
Molecule: ribosomal RNA, 433 nt
Filed under: uncultured bacterium
Lineage: Bacteria
Description: partial 16S ribosomal RNA
Rfam family: Bacterial small subunit ribosomal RNA
Source: RNAcentral